GGAGGCUAUAUACAGGGGGUACCAGUACAGAGUCAAUGUGGAGGCUAUAUAUAGGGGGUACCAGUACAGAGUCAAUGUGGAGGCUAUAUACAGGGGGUACUGGUACAGAGUCAGUGUGGAGGCUAUAUACAGGGGGUACCGGUACAGAGUCAAUGUGGAGGCUAUAUACAGGGGGUACCAGUACAGAGUCAAUGUGGAGGCUAUAUACAGGGGGUACCGGUACAGAGUCAGUGUGGAGGCUAUAUACAGGGGGUACCGGUACAGAGUCAGUGUGGAGGCUAUAUACAGGGGGUACCGGUACAGAGUCAAUGUGGAGGCUAUAUACAGGGG
Molecule: long non-coding RNA, 330 nt
Organism: Oncorhynchus tshawytscha (Chinook salmon)
Lineage: Eukaryota; Metazoa; Chordata; Actinopteri; Salmoniformes; Salmonidae
Source: Ensembl